GUAUGGUGCAAGCGUUAUCCGGAUUUACUGGGUGUAAAGGGUGCGUAGGUGGUAUGGCAAGUCAGAAGUGAAAGGCUGGGGCUCAACCCCGGGACUGCUUUUGAUACUGGAGGUCUUGAGUGCACACAGGGAUGCUGGAAUUCAUGGUGUAGCGGUGAAAUGCUCAGAUAUCAUGAAGAACUCCGAUCGCGAAGGCAGGCAUCCGGGGUGCAACUGACGCUGAGGCUCGAAAGUGCGGGUAUCAAACAGGAUUAGAUACCCUGGUAGUCCGCACAGUAAACGAUGAAUACUCGCGGUUUGCGAUACAAUGUAAGCCGCCAAGCGAAAGCGUUAAGUAUUCCACCUGGGGAGU
This 352-nucleotide ribosomal RNA is filed under the name uncultured bacterium. Its description in RNAcentral is "bacterial SSU rRNA". It matches the Rfam family "Bacterial small subunit ribosomal RNA", at positions 527 to 881 of the family's 1533-position model. The record is from RNAcentral.